RNAcentral lists this ribosomal RNA (507 nucleotides) under uncultured Lachnospiraceae bacterium. Its description in RNAcentral is "partial 16S ribosomal RNA". Lineage: Bacteria; Bacillati; Bacillota; Clostridia; Lachnospirales; Lachnospiraceae. The record is from RNAcentral.
CACGUAUUUAGCCGGAGCUUCUUAGUCAGGUACCGUCACUUUCUUCCCUGCUGAUAGGGCUUUAUAUACCGAAAUACUUCUUCACCCACGCGGCGUUGCUGCAUCAGGGUUCCCCCCAUUGUGCAAUAUUCCCCACUGCUGCCUCCCGUAGGAGUCUGGGCCGUGUCUCAGUCCCAAUGUGGCCGUCCACUCUCUCAAGCCGGCUACUGAUCGCUGCCUUGGUAGGCCGUUACCCCGCAACUAGCUAAUCAGACGCGGGCCCAUCCUGUACCACCGGAGUUUUCCCCGCAGCGCCAUGCGGCACCGCGGGCUUAUGCGGUAUUAGCAGCCGUUUCCAGCUGUUGUCCCCCUGGUACAGGGCAGGUUACCCACGCGUUACUCACCCGUCCGCCACUAGGCUGUAUGCCGCUUCCGCCCGAAGCUUCCGCUGCAUACCGCCCCGUUCGACUUGCAUGUGUUAGGCACGCCGCCAGCGUUCAUCCUGAGCCAGGACUCAAACUCUCUACG